ACUCCUACGGGAGGCAGCAGUGGGGAAUAUUGCACAAUGGGGAAACCCUGAUGCAGCCAUGCCGCGUGUGUGAAGAAGGCCUCGGUUGUAAAGCACUUUCAGUAGGGAGGAAGGUAGUGUAGUUAACACCUGCAUUAUUUGUACGUUACCUACAGAAGAAGCACCGGCUAACUCCGUGCCAGCAGCCGCGGUAAUACGGAGGGUGCGAGCGUUAAUCGGAAUUACUGGGCGUAAAGCGCAUGCAGGCGGCCUGUUAAGUCAGAUGUGAAAGCCCGGGGGCUUAACCUCGGAAUUGCAUUUGAAACUGGCAGGCUAGAGUCUUGUAGAGGGGGUAGAAUUUCAGGUGUAGCGGUGAAAUGCGUAGAGAUCUGAAGG
Molecule: ribosomal RNA, 375 nt
Filed under: uncultured bacterium
Lineage: Bacteria
Description: bacterial SSU rRNA
Rfam family: Bacterial small subunit ribosomal RNA
Source: RNAcentral